This 542-nucleotide non-coding RNA is filed under the name Xiphophorus maculatus (southern platyfish). Its description in RNAcentral is "Eukaryotic large subunit ribosomal RNA". It matches the Rfam family "Eukaryotic large subunit ribosomal RNA", at positions 2416 to 2975 of the family's 3401-position model. Lineage: Eukaryota; Metazoa; Chordata; Actinopteri; Cyprinodontiformes; Poeciliidae. The record is from Rfam by way of RNAcentral.
UCAAGCUCAGGGAUUCAAUUAUCAUGGUGUAAAAGAGACAUGAGGGCUGUAGAAUAAGUGGGAGUCUAUGGCCUCUGGUGAAAUACCACUAUUCUUAUUGUUUUUUCACUUACCCAGUGAGGUUGGAAGACAAACUCUGAGUCAGGUCUUAGUUCUGACAUUAAGCAUCCCGUGUGUGUGGGGUGUGACCCGCAUCGGGGACAGUGGCAAGUGGGGAAUUUGCCUAGGACAGCACACCGGUCAAGUGGUAUCACAGGUUUCCAUAUACCACUGGAAACCUGUGGGCUAAGUGAGGACAGAAACCUCCCAUGAAGCAGAAGGGCAAAAGUUAUGACCUUGAUUUUCAGGAUGAAAACAGGCUGUGAAAUUGGGACUUCAUACGGAGGUGUGAGAAAGUUACCACAGAGAACACAGACUUUUAGUUAGUCAGUUAUCAUAGCAGUAUGGCUUUUUCACCCUUCAAUUUUUCAUACCAUUGUGAAGCAGAACUGACCAAGUCUUGGAUUGUUUUCCCAAUACUAGAUCAUGUAGAAACUAACAAG